AUCGCUUCUCGGUCUUUUGGCUAAGAGCAAGUGUAGUAUCUGUUCUUAUCAGGUUAAUAUCUGAUAUGUCCUCUAUCCGAGGACAGUAGUAAAUGGACUUUUGGAGCUAGGAGUUGCAUAGGCCUUACUCUGUCCACUCUAUGCNNN
Molecule: small nuclear RNA, 147 nt
Filed under: Choloepus hoffmanni (Hoffmann's two-fingered sloth)
Lineage: Eukaryota; Metazoa; Chordata; Mammalia; Pilosa; Megalonychidae
Description: U2 spliceosomal RNA (ENSCHOG00000015537.1)
Rfam family: U2 spliceosomal RNA
About the family: U2 is a small nuclear RNA (snRNA) component of the spliceosome (involved in pre-mRNA splicing). Complementary binding between U2 snRNA (in an area lying towards the 5' end but 3' to hairpin I) and the branchpoint sequence (BPS) of the intron results the bulging out of an unpaired adenosine, on the BPS, which initiates a nucleophilic attack at the intronic 5' splice site, thus starting the first of two transesterification reactions that mediate splicing.
Source: RNAcentral